Molecule: non-coding RNA, 23 nt
Filed under: Rattus norvegicus (Norway rat)
Lineage: Eukaryota; Metazoa; Chordata; Mammalia; Rodentia; Muridae
Source: RNAcentral
UAGAGAUUUGUCUCAGGUAUCAU